This is a long non-coding RNA of Populus trichocarpa (black cottonwood), 344 nucleotides long. RefSeq lists it as uncharacterized. The transcript is spliced from 2 exons. NCBI's taxonomy places the organism in Eukaryota, Viridiplantae, Streptophyta, Magnoliopsida, Malpighiales, Salicaceae. The record is from RefSeq and is a predicted model, not a curated record.
UAUGUUGCCAACCUGUGUGGUGUAACUCCUAGACUUUGUUGCCAUGUCUUCAGCAGCAUUUUUUAGCCAAUCUGAGCUGAGACGGGAAUCUUUGCAUAGGGUAAUCAUCUCAGAGAUGUGAUCCAUGAAGAAGAGAACCAGCCCGAUGGGCUCAGCACCGUCCUCCCAACAAUUGUCUCCUCGUACUUUCUCAUAACGCCAUCCAUAGACUUUCCAGCCUGCAAUCAUAAAUAAAACCCUAGUUCAUAUUUUCUCACUUUAUCUCAUAUUAAGAUGUUAGAGAUCUCAGAUGAAAGAGCAAUUACCUUGCACACAAUAUCAAGCAUCUGGUAAUUACCACUCCA